CGAACGGGUGAGUAACGCGUGAGCAACCUGCCUAUGACAGUGGGAUAGCCUCGGGAAACCGGGAUUAAUACCGCAUAAAAUCGUAGAAACACAUGUUUUAACGGUCAAAGAUUUAUCGGUCAUAGAUGGGCUCGCGUCUGAUUAGCUAGUUGGUGAGAUAACAGCCCACCAAGGCGACGAUCAGUAGCCGGUCUGAGAGGAUGAACGGCCACAUUGGAACUGAGAAACGGUCCAA
RNAcentral lists this ribosomal RNA (235 nucleotides) under uncultured Eubacteriales bacterium. RNAcentral's name for it is "uncultured Clostridiales bacterium partial 16S ribosomal RNA". It matches the Rfam family "Bacterial small subunit ribosomal RNA", at positions 99 to 334 of the family's 1533-position model. The record is from RNAcentral. Lineage: Bacteria; Bacillati; Bacillota; Clostridia; Eubacteriales.